AGAGUUUGAUCAUGGCUCAGGAUGAACGCUGGCGGCGUGCUUAACACAUGCAAGUCGAACGGAGCUGUUCCGGACGCCUAGGGCUUCGGCCACGGGCGGAAGGAACGACUUAGUGGCGGACGGGUGAGUAACGCGUGGGCAACCUGCCUUUUUCCGGGGGAUAACACAGGGAAACCUGUGCUAAUACCGCAUAAAGUCAUCUGAGGACAUCCUCUAAUGACCAAAGGAUUUGUCCGGGGAAAGAGGGGCCCGCGUCUGAUUAGCUUGUUGGUGAGGUAACGGCCCACCAAGGCAACGAUCAGUAGCCGAACUGAGAGGUUGAUCGGCCACAUUGGGACUGAGACACGGCCCAGACUCCUACGGGAGGCAGCAGUGGGGAAUAUUGCGCAAUGGGGGAAACCCUGACGCAGCAACGCCGCGUGAAGGAUGAAGGUUUUCGGAUUGUAAACUUCUUUGACAGGGGACGAAGAAUGACGGUACCCUGAAAACAAGUCACGGCUAACUACGUGCCAGCAGCCGCGGUAAUACGUAGGUGACAAGCGUUAUCCGGAUUUACUGGGUGUAAAGGGCGUGUAGGCGGGUCUGCAAGUCAGAUGUGAAAUGCUGGGGCUUAACCCCGGAACUGCAUCUGAAACUGCGGAUCUUGAGUACCGGAGAGGAAAGUGGAAUUCCCAGUGUAGCGGUGAAAUGCGUAGAGAUUGGGAGGAACACCAGUGGCGAAGGCGGCUUUCUGGACGGUAACUGACGCUGAGGCGCGAAAGCGUGGGGAGCAAACAGGAUUAGAUACCCUGGUAGUCCACGCUGUAAACGAUGAAUACUAGGUGUAGGGGGUAUAAAAUCCCUCUGUGCCGCAGCAAACGCAAUAAGUAUUCCACCUGGGGAGUACGACCGCAAGGUUGAAACUCAAAGGAAUUGACGGGGACCCGCACAAGCAGUGGAGUAUGUGGUUUAAUUCGAAGCAACGCGAAGAACCUUACCAAGGCUUGACAUGACAGUGAAUUGCGGUGAAAGCCGUAAGUCUUCGGACACUGCCACAGGUGGUGCAUGGUUGUCGUCAGCUCGUGUCGUGAGAUGUUGGGUUAAGUCCCGCAACGAGCGCAACCCUUGCUGUUAGUUGCCAUCGGGUAAAGCCGGGCACUCUAACGGGACUGCCGGUGAUAAAUCGGAGGAAGGUGGGGACGACGUCAAAUCAUCAUGCCCCUUAUGUCUUGGGCUACACACGUACUACAAUGGCUAUUACAGAAGGAAGCGAAGGCGCAAGCCGGAGCAAAUCCCCAAAGGUAGUCUCAGUUCGGAUUGUGGGCUGCAACCCGCCCGCAUGAAGUCGGAAUUGCUAGUAAUUGCAGGUCAGCAUACUGCAGUGAAUACGUUCCCGGGUCUUGUACACACCGCCCGUCAAACCAUGAGAGUCAGCAACACCCGAAGUCAGUAGCGUAACCGCAAGGAGCGCGCUGCCUAAGGUGGGGUUGAUGAUUGGGGUUAAGUCGUAACAAGGUAGCCGUAUCGGAAGGUGCGGCUGGAACACCUCCUU
This 1531-nucleotide ribosomal RNA is filed under the name uncultured bacterium. Its description in RNAcentral is "bacterial SSU rRNA". It matches the Rfam family "Bacterial small subunit ribosomal RNA". The record is from RNAcentral.